RNAcentral lists this long non-coding RNA (954 nucleotides) under Marmota monax (woodchuck). Lineage: Eukaryota; Metazoa; Chordata; Mammalia; Rodentia; Sciuridae. The record is from RNAcentral.
UGGCAACUUGCCCAAAUAAAACCAGGACUUAGACAAAUGCUGUUUUGCCCUGAUUCUCGAGCCCCACCUUUACUGCAGGAUUGUUUUAAAAAAUAUUGAUUUGUGUGAAUUUUUUUUUCCCUGAGUGUUCACAAACCUUCCAAGCAUGCAGAUGGUUCUGCCUCAGGGGUUUCUGAAGGACAGUAAGCAAAAUACUGCCUGAAAAGUCAAGUCUCUUGCUGCAUUUUUGUAAAAUGUAAAAAUGUGGUGAUGAUACCAGGUAACCCAGGAAGAUUCUUGGGUUUUUUUUUGUGUGUGUCUGUGUGUAUGAUGCUGGGGGUUGAACCCAGGGCCUUGUGCAUGCAAGGCAAGCCCUCUACCAAUCGAGCUAUACCCCAUCCCCUUGUGUAGCUCUUUGACCUCUGUCUUCUAUGUUAAGAGUUUCAUGAGGAGAGGGACAAUACCUUGUCCUAACCUAGGAAGCAGCACAGAUUUGGGUACUCAGUAGAUGUUCAAGGGAUACCUACUGAAUGCUUGAGUGAACCACUGAGUGAACUUGGAACAAUCAUCGUUAGUCAAAACCUCAGGGGUCACACAGCCCAACAUCUUGAGAAGCUAAGAACUCCACACAAUCUUCUUCUUCUUCUUUUUUUAGUUUUAGUUGGACACAAUAUCUUUAUUUUAUUUAUCUAUUUUUAUGUGGUGCUGAGGAUCGAACCCAGGACCUCGCACGUGCUAGUCGAGCACUCUACUACUGAGCCACAACCCCAGCCCCUCCACACAAUCUCUGAGUGACUUUCUUUCCCUUGACCUAGGUAUCUUCAGUCUCCAAAUUUAUCCUAAUGGAUCAAGAUCAAAUCCUGAGCCAUCUGCUUAUAAACCACCAUUGUCCUCCCCUGUCCUUAAGCUCACUGCAGUAUUAGGCCUCUUCUAUGGGUAUUGCAAUGCCCUCUGUCUCACAGAACCUCAGUCCUU